UCCGGGUUUCUCAAGGUGGACAGAAGGGAAGGACCUGACCGACCCCCUUGCCCUGGAGGCCAGAGGCUUUGCUGAAGUGGCAGCGUAGGCCCGUGAGUCCCUCUGUACUUCCGCAGGAAGGCAGACUUCCACGUUGAUGAUCCGGUAAUAGUAGUAACACAACUCACUGAGUGCCUCUAUGCUCCAGAAACUCCACUGGGGGCUCUCUCUGUGCCACGUUAAGGCUCACAAAAAACCAACAAGAGCUUCUUGGAAGGUCUCAUCUGAAACUGCACACACUCAGAAGGAGAUGAGGGGUGUGGUGGGCAUAACCCACCUGGAGAAACGCCAUCUGGUCCGAGGGAGGCUGGUGGCUAACAGGGCAGGUGCACCGGGCCACCCACAAAUCCCCCCCCUCUCCAAGAAUCGGCUUUGGAUCGCAGAGGAGGAAGACGUUGAUGGACAGUUCGAAACAUCCACGUCCAGACUGCUGCCUGCA
Long non-coding RNA from Mirounga angustirostris (Northern elephant seal), 478 nucleotides. RefSeq lists it as uncharacterized. The transcript has 3 exons. Lineage: Eukaryota; Metazoa; Chordata; Mammalia; Carnivora; Phocidae. The record is from RefSeq and is a predicted model, not a curated record.